AUUGAACGCUGGCGGCAGGCUUAACACAUGCAAGUCGAGCGGGGUGAUGGUGCUUGCACUAUCACUUAGCGGCGGACGGGUGAGUAAUGCUUAGGAAUCUGCCUAUUAGUGGGGGACAACAUCUCGAAAGGGAUGCUAAUACCGCAUACGUCCUACGAGAGAAAGCAGGGGAUCACUUGUGACCUUGCGCUAAUAGAUGAGCCUAAGUCGGAUUAGCUAGUUGGUGGGGUAAAGGCCUACCAAGGCGACGAUCUGUAGCGGGUCUGAGAGGAUGAGCCGCCAAACUGGGACUGAGACACGGCCCAGACUCCUACGGGAGGCAGCAGUGGGGAAUAUUGGACAAUGGGGGGAACCCUGAUCUAGCCAUGCCGCGUGUGUGAAGAAGGCCUUAUGGUUGUAAAGCACUUUAAGCGAGGAGGAGGCUCUUUUGGUUAAUACCCAAGAUGAGUGGACGUUACUCGUAGAAUAAGCACCGGCUAACUCUGUGCCAGCCGCCGCAGUAA
Molecule: ribosomal RNA, 503 nt
Filed under: uncultured bacterium
Lineage: Bacteria
Description: partial 16S ribosomal RNA
Rfam family: Bacterial small subunit ribosomal RNA
Source: RNAcentral